Molecule: ribosomal RNA, 491 nt
Filed under: uncultured bacterium
Lineage: Bacteria
Description: partial 16S ribosomal RNA
Rfam family: Bacterial small subunit ribosomal RNA
Source: RNAcentral
GAUGAACGCUGGCUACAGGCUUAACACAUGCAAGUCGAGGGGAAACGACGGGGAAGCUUGCUUCCCCGGGCGUCGACCGGCGCACGGGUGAGUAACGCGUAUCCAACCUGCCUCUGACUGAGGGAUAACCCGUCGAAAGUCGGCCUAAUACCUCAUGGCAUCGUCUGCGGGCAUCCAACGACGAUUAAAGAUUUCAUCGGUCAGGGAUGGGGAUGCGUCUGAUUAGCUAGUUGGCGGGGUAACGGCCCACCAAGGCGACGAUCAGUAGGGGUUCUGAGAGGAAGGUCCCCCACAUUGGAACUGAGACACGGUCCAAACUCCUACGGGAGGCAGCAGUGAGGAAUAUUGGUCAAUGGGCGAGAGCCUGAACCAGCCAAGUAGCGUGCAGGAUGACGGCCCUGUGGGUUGUAAACUGCUUUUAUGCGGGGAUAAAGUGAGGGACGUGUCCUUCAUUGCAGGUACCGCAUGAAUAAGGACCGGCUAAUUCCGUG